AGGAACGUUCUGGCACCUGGCUGAGUAACAAAAAGACCUGGUCAGGUUUUGAAGGGUCUGGUGAGAGGUCUGGAAUGCAGGCGUUGGAGGCGCAGGGAAGGAGGAGAUGACAUGAACGCAGUCCCUGCUACCGAAGCUCACGCAGUCCGGUUCCCCACGUAGUGGUAAAUCAGAGGUGUGGUGUGCGUGAGGUGCAAGAAGUGGAUGGAAAAAAGGCAACAAGCUCUAACAACAUUGUGAUGUGUUUCCCUUGCAAGCCAGCCCUGGAAGAAGGGGAAAGUGCUCAGUGAUGUCCUUCAAACACCAUGCCUGCACCUAGAUGGGCUUUGGCUGCUGCACUGACAGCACAAGCACAGCAGGAAGCAAGUGGAAAUGGGCCCUCAGGGCUCUUGGACCAGGAGAACAUUUCUGAGCUAUUGCUGCUGCACGGCCCAGCCUAUGGGAAGUAUUGACCACAGAGACCCUGUCAGAUCCACCAGAGGCAACAAACUGCUGUAUAUCUGAAACAAGAAACUGCGCACCUUCACCAGGAUGCCUUUUGCCUUGAGAGCUGGAAAGAAAGGUUGUGAACGUUAAGAGCAUCUAAGAAAUACCGUGUGUCGCUUUUCCAUAGCAAAGGUAAGAGAUCUAGGCAAAUACUGCUGGUACCUGCAGUUUGGGGGAGACUGUAUUAGUGGUUAGCAGCUAAGUCUUUCCUCACUGGUGAGGUGUUGCACAGCCCUCAGCAGACAGUGAUUAGAAACACACUUGAAAGCGCCAGUUGUUCCCCCUGCACCCAGAGCAACGUGAGAGUCCACUGUAUUCCUUAAUAACCCGGCACAGAUGGUGCAUUGCAUGCUUUGGAGGACUCUGACCCGCUUCUCUGCUUAGUGCAAAACCUGCUGCUGCUUCUUAGUUAUACAAAAACAAGAAAAUGUCCUGUUUGGGCUAGAUUGGAGUCUGUAAUCCUGGUGCCAUCAGUCAGAUUGAAAGGCCAGUUCCUUAAAAAGGAAAAAGCUCAGUUGUUAUACCAUGAAUAUAUACACAUGGAUAAAGCAGAGAAGGCUUUGACGUUCACAGCCCUUUGUGCAACAUUCCUGUCGUAUCACAAACACAUCAGCCUACAUGCUUUGCUAAUUGUGUUAUGCUCCAAAGCAGUCAGGGCCUGAUGGUGCCCAAUGAAGACCAACAGCACACAGCUGCCAUGUGCUUUGCAAAACUUGACUUCAGCUGUGCAGCUUGAUGCUGAUACGUGGUUUAACAUUGUAUACCUUCAGAACAGGGAGAAUCCAGGCAGACUUUCAUUUUAAGGUAAUUUCCCUACUGAACACCCUUCUGAGGAUCAAAUCUGUAUUUUGACAUAUCUGUAGUAAAAACUUUGGUGCAGAGUUGUAAUUGUAGGCAUGUGCAUGAAUCUCUGAAUCAAGGAGCCCACAUGCCCCUGAUCAGUUUGGGAUGUUAUCCAGAAAUAAAGCCCAACAGCAGCCCUUAAGACAAACAAACUGUAAACUGUAUUUCUUUGUUUAUAUCAUUAGAUAUGAUGCAGCCAAAGUUCAUAGUCACAAGGUUGAACAUCACCUAGCUGGAAAAAGCUAAAACAAAUGAAUGGUGUCACUAAAUUAAACUUAUGUUGGCUAACAGCUAUGGGCUGCAGUGGCAUUCAGAGCCAUGGAGUGUGCGAUUCUCUCGCUGCCACCAGGACAGGGGCAUGUAGGUGGUUUGUGGCUGCUGAGAUAGCUUUGGU
This is a long non-coding RNA of Tympanuchus pallidicinctus (lesser prairie-chicken), 1723 nucleotides long. RefSeq lists it as uncharacterized. The record is from RefSeq and is a predicted model, not a curated record. Lineage: Eukaryota; Metazoa; Chordata; Aves; Galliformes; Phasianidae. The transcript has 3 exons.